GUGGGGAAUAUUGGACAAUGGGCGAAAGCCUGAUCCAGCCAUGCCGCGUGUGUGAAGAAGGUCUUCGGAUUGUAAAGCACUUUAAGUUGGGAGGAAGGGCAGUAAGUUAAUACCUUGCUGUUUUGACGUUACCGACAGAAUAAGCACCGGCUAACUUCGUGCCAGCAGCCGCGGUAAUACGUAGGGUGCAAGCGUUAAUCGGAAUUACUGGGCGUAAAGCGCGCGUAGGUGGUUUUGUAAGUUGGAGGUGAAAUCCCCGGGCUCAACCUGGGAACUGCCUCCAAAACUGCAUGACUAGAGUACGGUAGAGGGUAGUGGAAUUUCCUGUGUAGCGGUGAAAUGCGUAGAUAUAGGAAGGAACACCAGUGGCGAAGGCGACUACCUGGACUGAUACUGACACUGAGGUGCGAAAGCGUGGGGAGCAAACAGGAUUAGAUACCCCGGUAGUCC
This 450-nucleotide ribosomal RNA is filed under the name uncultured bacterium. RNAcentral describes it as "bacterial SSU rRNA". It matches the Rfam family "Bacterial small subunit ribosomal RNA", at positions 354 to 796 of the family's 1533-position model. The record is from RNAcentral.